This 105-nucleotide ribosomal RNA is filed under the name uncultured bacterium. Its description in RNAcentral is "partial 16S ribosomal RNA". It matches the Rfam family "Bacterial small subunit ribosomal RNA", at positions 1379 to 1482 of the family's 1533-position model. The record is from RNAcentral.
CCUUGUACACACCGCCCGUCACACCAUGGGAGCGGGUUCUGCCAGAAGUAGUUAGCCUAACCGGCAAGGAGGGCGAUUACCACGGCAGGGUUCGUGACUGGGGUG